GACUGGAUCAUCGCCGAUCCGAUCUGCACCUUCAUCUUCUCAGUAAUCGUGUUCUCCACCACGAUCGGUGUGCUCAAGGACGCCCUCAGAGUGCUGCUCGCCGCCACACCUCCCGAACUGAACCUCCAUGACAUCUCUGCGGCUCUGCUCGACGUUCCUGGCGUGGUGGGCCUGCAUGGACUGCGAGUGUGGGCGCUCAGCAUGGAUACCAACGCCGUCAUGGUGCACCUGGAGAUCAAGUAUUACGAAGACGGCGCAGCUGCUCUCGAAAAGGCCACAGACGUCCUGCGGAACAAGUUCCACUUCUACGAGAUCUGCGUGCAAGUGGACACCUUCACGAACAGCAUGAACCACUGCACGAUCUGCAACGAAAACAAAGAGGUCACCACGCGGCCGGGCACUGUGACCGUCUGAGGCGGGGCACCACCACCACCACCACCGCCGCCGCCGCCGCCACUGCGAACUACCGCCAGUUUCAGUCACUAAGAGGAGUCAGUGUGUAGCGCCGCCGGGGUCCGCCAGUCCACAGCGUGCGCUCCAGAGCAGGUGCCAUCAGCGAUUGAUCCAUCUUUGGCAGUCGGCCUAACUCAGUGGUUGUCUAUGAACAGAGCCGUCCACUGUGGCAGCUAUUUACCCGCAGAGCCGUCCACUGUGGAAGUCUAUUUACCCAUAUCACCGUCCACGACUCUAAUAUUUUUAUCACAUAGCCGUCACUAGUGUCAGGUCUGUGUGUAUUGUCGUCCACAAUGAUCAAAUAAAUGAGGCCCUCUGUGGUGUCUACGAAGCUCCCCGUCUACAACAGCUGUCUUUUCUAUAGGAUUAUCGUUCACUUUAGCCAUUUAGCCAUUAGCCGUCUGCUGUAGCUGUAGCCGUCUUCAGCCGUUUAUUGUAAAUGUCUCCUGUAGGCAUUUACAAUAGCCGCCUGCUUUAGCUCUCUAAUUUAGCCGUCUGCUGUAGGCAGCUGUCUACAGUAGCCGUCUACAGCAGCCUGUCAACAGUAGCUGUGUUUUGUAGCCGUCUUCUGUAGCCGCCUGCAGUAGCUGGUCUUCAUUAUCCGUCUGCUGUAGCCGUCUGCUGUAGCUGUCCGCUGUAGCGUCUACAGUAGCCGUCUACUGUAGCCGUCUACUGUAGCCGUCUGCUGUAUCCGUCUGUUGUAGCCGUCUGCUGUAGCCGUCUGUUGUAGCCGUCUGUUGUAGCCAUCCGUUGUGGCCGUCUACAGGAGCCGUCUGCUGUAACCGUCUGCUACAGCCGUCUUCUGUAGCUGGUCUGCAAUAGCCGUCCACGGAAGCCGUCUGCUGUAGCCGUCUACAGAGCCGUCUGCUGUAGCUGUUAACAGCUGUUGUAGACAUCUGUGGUAUCUACUACAGCCAUCUACUGUAGCCGUCUUUGGCUGUGGGCGUCUAUGACCCAUAUGGUCCGCUACUCGUAUGCCCGUCUUCGGCCGUCUAUGGUCGUCUUUGGCCGUCUGGAGUGGCCACCUGCCGUCUGGCGCCCGCCCUGGUUGUGUUUUAAAUGUGGAUGUCGUCUGAGGCAUGUGAAAUGUAAAUGAGACCUGUCGUCUACUACGACCGACUAAUUAUAAAUCGCUGUGGAAUUUCUUACUGUGGUCAUAAGUAUUAUGUAAUUGUUAAACUUCUUGUUUUCAAGCGAUCUGUACGAAUAUUUUCGAAGCUGAAGCGUUUAUAUGAUGUCAACAAUAACAUCACCGAUGACGCAUUGUUAACUUUGAGGUGUACUGUAGUCGAUAAGCGGUGAACUUCAGACGGCAAAUAAGCGUCACUUUUGAUCUUGAACCGUAACAUUUGUGCCAUGCUUUUGACGUAAGGCUGGCAAGCAUCGACGAUCUUACACUGUGGCCAAUGCAUUUAUAAAUCACGUGUCGAGUGCGUGCUCUUUAUGGAAUGAUAUGAUGUUGCGAACAUGUGAUAGCCUGAAUUUGCAUAUGUCCGGCAAUGAUGUAAUCAUAAGUCGAAUGUAUUUCAUUGCUCAAGGUAGGAAAACUAAAAUGAGUGAGGAGACAAACGACCGGUUAUCAUAUUUGCUCAAAUAUUGUCUUGCAAAGUUUCGGCAGCGUUAUUGAGAACAAAAAUUGCGUUGCGCAAAACAUUACUCGGAUAUGUAUGUGUUUGUCCUAACUGGUGAAGGUUUAAAGCAUUGAAACAACUGAUAUUAUUGUUA
Long non-coding RNA from Amphibalanus amphitrite, 2178 nucleotides. RefSeq lists it as uncharacterized. The record is from RefSeq and is a predicted model, not a curated record. The transcript has 3 exons. Lineage: Eukaryota; Metazoa; Arthropoda; Thecostraca; Balanomorpha; Balanidae.